UAUGGCUUUUUAUUCCUACGUGAUUGUAGUCUGGGUUCAUGUAGGGGUAGAAGCCACGAA
This 60-nucleotide microRNA precursor is filed under the name Lepisosteus oculatus (spotted gar). RNAcentral's name for it is "Loc-Mir-135-P2_pre stem-loop". It matches the Rfam family "mir-135 microRNA precursor family", at positions 19 to 72 of the family's 88-position model. From Rfam's summary of the family: The hairpin precursors (represented here) are predicted based on base pairing and cross-species conservation -- their extents are not known. In this case the mature sequence is excised from the 5' arm of the hairpin. Lineage: Eukaryota; Metazoa; Chordata; Actinopteri; Semionotiformes; Lepisosteidae. The record is from RNAcentral.